UACGUAGGGUCCGAGCGUUGUCCGGAAUUAUUGGGCGUAAAGGGCUUGUAGGCGGUCUGUUGCGUCGGGAGUGAAAACUUACAGCUUAACUGUGAGCGUGCUUCCGAUACGGGCAGACUUGAGGUAUUCAGGGGAGAACGGAAUUCCUGGUGUAGCGGUGAAAUGCGCAGAUAUCAGGAGGAACACCGGUGGCGAAGGCGGUUCUCUGGGAAUAUCCUGACGCUGAGGAGCGAAAGUGUGGGGAGCGAACAGG
Molecule: ribosomal RNA, 253 nt
Filed under: uncultured bacterium
Lineage: Bacteria
Description: partial 16S ribosomal RNA
Rfam family: Bacterial small subunit ribosomal RNA
Source: RNAcentral